Molecule: ribosomal RNA, 502 nt
Filed under: uncultured bacterium
Lineage: Bacteria
Description: partial 16S ribosomal RNA
Rfam family: Bacterial small subunit ribosomal RNA
Source: RNAcentral
GACGAACGCUGGCGGCGUGCCUAAUACAUGCAAGUCGAACGAACCGCGACUAGGUGCUUGCACUUGGUCAAGGUGAGUGGCGAACGGGUGAGUAACACGUGGGUAACCUACCUCAUAGUGGGGGAUAACAGUCGGAAACGACUGCUAAUACCGCAUAGGACAUAGGAUCACAUGAUCCAGUGAGGAAAGGUGGCGCAAGCUAUCGCUAAGAGAUGGACCCGCGGUGCAUUAGCUAGUUGGUAGGGUAAAGGCCUACCAAGGCGAUGAUGCAUAGCCGACCUGAGAGGGUGAUCGGCCACAUUGGGACUGAGACACGGCCCAACCUCCUACGGGAGGCAGCAGUGGGGAAUCUUCCGCAAUGGACGCAAGUCUGACGGAGCAACGCCGCGUGAGUGAAGAAGGUCUUCGGAUCGUAAAGCUCUGUUGUUAGAGAAGAACAGCGCAUAGAGUAACUGUUAUGCGUGUGACGGUAUCUAACCAGAAAGCCACGGCUAACUACGUG